RNAcentral lists this ribosomal RNA (422 nucleotides) under uncultured Clostridium sp. Its description in RNAcentral is "bacterial SSU rRNA". It matches the Rfam family "Bacterial small subunit ribosomal RNA", at positions 355 to 794 of the family's 1533-position model. The record is from RNAcentral. Lineage: Bacteria; Bacillati; Bacillota; Clostridia; Eubacteriales; Clostridiaceae.
UGGGGAAUAUUGCACAAUGGGGGGAACCCUGAUGCAGCGACGCCGCGUGAGCGAAGAAGUAUUUCGGUAUGUAAAGCUCUAUCAGCAGGGAAGAAAAUGACGGUACCUGACUAAGAAGCCCCGGCUAACUACGUGCCAGCAGCCGCGGUAAUACGUAGGGGGCAAGCGUUAUCCGGAUUUACUGGGUGUAAAGGGCGUGUAGGCGGAGGAGCAAGUCAGAUGUGAAAUCCAUGGGCUUAACCCAUGAACUGCAUUUGAAACUGUUUCCCUUGAGUAUCGGAGAGGCAAGCGGAAUUCCUAGUGUAGCGGUGAAAUGCGUAGAUAUUAGGAGGAACACCAGUGGCGAAGGCGGCUUGCUGGACGACAACUGACGCUGAGGCGCGAAAGCGUGGGGAGCAAACAGGAUUAGAUACCCUGGUAGU